Molecule: RNA transcript, 644 nt
Organism: Quercus lobata
Lineage: Eukaryota; Viridiplantae; Streptophyta; Magnoliopsida; Fagales; Fagaceae
Exons: 3
Source: RefSeq, a predicted model, not a curated record
AGAAAUCGGAAGAGAAAGAGACCAAGCUCCACACAUCACAUACAGUGGCUUUUGGAAACCCUAACUCCCACUCUCCCACUCUCACUCGCUCUUCAAGCCAAGGUAACACGAGGAUAGGAAGGUUUUCCAAGUCCAAUUACAUAAUAAAGCAGAAUACAUAGCUUCCAACGAUUAACCUAGUGAGAAAGUGAAAAGGGAAAAUGAGCGGCGCCGCCAAAAACAAUGGCACCAAUGUAGGAGCAGGAGGAGGUUUCAUGUCCAAAAUGGAUCACUUCCUCUACAGCGGGGACAAGAAGCACGUCGUGGCUGGCAUUGCUGUCUUUACUGUCAUCUUUGGCAUCCCUUGGUACUUCAUGAACCGAGGGUCAAAACAUCAGUCCCAUCAAGAUUACUUGGAAAAGGCUGAUAAAGCACGGAGUGAAAGACUUUCUUCAGGUUCAUCUUCUGCCAAAUGAUUUUUGAGAGCUUUCUGUUGAACUGGGGUGGCUUCCACCAUGCAUUUUGACAGAUUUUGAUGAUAAAUCUAUUUGGGGUUGUGUUUCUCUUUCAGCCUUAUGUGCAGAAUGGCUUCUGUUAGUCCUUGUAGAACUCCCAAUUUGGGAUGAAUUUUGUUUCUUAUCAAUCCCCCCUCCCCCACAAAAAAA